Cynocephalus volans (Philippine flying lemur) is the source of this 515-nucleotide long non-coding RNA. RefSeq lists it as uncharacterized. The record is from RefSeq and is a predicted model, not a curated record. The transcript is spliced from 3 exons. NCBI's taxonomy places the organism in Eukaryota, Metazoa, Chordata, Mammalia, Dermoptera, Cynocephalidae.
CCUCUCUCUCUGCCCUACUGAAGUCAGCGGGGUUGGCUCCGUUUGGAGCCCACUCCACACUGCCUGUGUGGAGUACGCGAUGUCACAUUGACUCCUGAAGAAGGACAUCCAAAAAUCAAUACCUGAGGAAGUUGACCUGAUCUCCAAAGAGAUAAGGCAAAUGACUGGUCAUUACCACAGUACUAGCCCCACAAAUUCCUGCAAAAACCCAGAAUGUCAAGAAGCAACGGAAGGGAUAAGUGGGUCCAAAGACUUCCCCAUCAGAUGAGGAGAAUCCCAGAGAAAGCAAGAAUAACAGAAGAGGAAGGCUGUACAACAGAAGUUCCCCUGGAGACCUCAAAGGAAGCUGCAGCAAAAUUGGAAGGAGUUGACAGAAUCUUUUGACUGUCUGAGGACUGUCAGGACUGUCUGACUGUCCUGACUCCCUGCUCUAUUUCCGUUCUGGGUAACCUUUAUCUGUUUCACUGUAAUGAUGAUUCUGUGUGAGGAUGUUAUUAAAGUUCUAUUCUAACCAA